AGGCCAGCCCAUGCUGAAAGCUCACCAACUCCAGCACUCACAUUAGGUAAUACACCAGCAAGGACUCCUCAUGUCUCACUGGGUUCCCCUUCCACCGUCAGAAGCCAAGGAAAUUUCCAAAAUAUUCCAUCGAUGUCCAGAGCAGCACUGGAAGAGCAGUGAGCAUGGGGAGAGAAGUGCUUUUGCUUCAGAACCAAAGUGGGUGUAUGAAAUCUGUUCCUCUCCCCCAGCUGCACAUUCUAAGGAAGCCGAGUGCCAGAGGUGGUCAGAGGCUGAUAUGUAGAAUCCGAAAAGUACAGGCUGAGCCAUGGCAGGAGGAGGAUCCGACGUCUACCUUCUUCCAGUUUGGAGCGUCCAUCCAGCAGCAAGCCACGGUCAUGCUGAAGAUCAUGCAGGAUUAUGACUGGCAUGUUUUCUCCCUGGUAACCACCAUCUUCCCUGGCUACAGGGAAUUCAUCAGCUUCGUCAAGACCACAGUGGACAACAGCUUUGUGGGCUGGGACAUGAAGAAUGUGAUCACACUGGACACUUCCUUUGAGGAUGCAAAGACACAAGUCCAGUUGAAGAAGAUCCACUCUUCUGUCAUCUUGCUCUACUGUUCCAAAGACGAGGCUGUUCUCAUUCUGAGUGAGGCCCGCUCCCUUGGCCUCACCGGGUAUGAUUUCUUCUGGAUUGUCCCCAGCUUGGUCUCUGGGAACACGGAGCUCAUCCCAAAAGAGUUUCCAUCGGGACUCAUUUCUGUCUCCUACGAUGAUUGGGACUACAGCCUGGAGGCGAGAGUGAGGGACGGCAUUGGCAUCCUAACCACCGCUGCGUCUUCUAUGCUGGAGAAGUUCUCCUACAUCCCCGAGGCCAAGGCCAGCUGCUACGGGCAGAUGGAGAGGCCAGAGGUCCCGAUGCACACCUUGCACCCGUAAGAAAGGGCUUUUUGUCUCCCAAUUUUGCUGUUGUCAUUGCUUGCUUACAUACUCAUUGUUGGAAAUACGCACUGAAAAUGCAGAAUGUUAUGUGUUUACUUGCGGGAUUUUUAUUUUGCUCUCCUCUCUCUUUCUCUCAUCUCCUUUGUAAGAUAAGUCACAUCAAACUUUGUUUCCUGCAACUUACCUUUUUCUUCUACUCAACAAUAUACCUUGGAAACC
Molecule: small RNA, 1139 nt
Filed under: Pongo abelii (Sumatran orangutan)
Lineage: Eukaryota; Metazoa; Chordata; Mammalia; Primates; Hominidae
Description: processed transcript
Source: RNAcentral